RNAcentral lists this ribosomal RNA (425 nucleotides) under uncultured bacterium. Its description in RNAcentral is "bacterial SSU rRNA". It matches the Rfam family "Bacterial small subunit ribosomal RNA", at positions 355 to 771 of the family's 1533-position model. The record is from RNAcentral.
UGGGGAAUUGUUCGCAAUGGGCGCAAGCCUGACGACGCAACGCCGCGUGGAGGACGAAGAUCUUCGGGUCGUAAACUCCUGUCGAACGGGACGAAACCCGCGUGGGUGAACAAUCCAUGCGGUUGACGGUACCGGGUGAGGAAGCCCCGGCUAACUCUGUGCCAGCAGCCGCGGUAAUACAGAGGGGGCGAGCGUUGUUCGGAAUUACUGGGCGUAAAGGGCGCGUAGGCGGCCUGCUAAGUCGAACGUGAAAUCCCCGGGCUCAACCCGGGAACUGCGUCCGAUACUGGCGGGCUUGAAUCCGGGAGAGGGAUGCGGAAUUCCAGGUGUAGCGGUGAAAUGCGUAGAUAUCUGGAGGAACACCGGUGGCGAAGGCGGCAUCCUGGACCGGCAUUGACGCUGAGGCGCGAAAGCCAGGGGAGCAA